AACGAACGCUGGCGGCAUGCCUAACACAUGCAAGUCGAACGAGACCUUCGGGUCUAGUGGCGCACGGGUGCGUAACGCGUGGGAAUCUGCCCUUCGGUUCGGAAUAACAGUGGGAACUACUGCUAAUACCGGAUAAUGACGUAAGUCCAAAGAUUUAUCGCCGAAGGAUGAGCCCGCGUAGGAUUAGCUAGUUGGUGGGGUAAAGGCCUACCAAGGCGACGAUCCUUAGCUGGUCUGAGAGGAUGAUCAGCCACACCUGGGACUGAGACACGGCCCAGACUCCUACCGGGAGGGCAGCAGUGGGGAAUAUUGGACAAUGGGCGAAAGCCUGAUCCAGCAAUGCCGCGUGAGUGAUGAAGGCCUUAGGGUUGUAAAGCUCUUUCAGCAGGGAAGAAGACGAAAGUGACGGUACCUGCAGAAGAAG
This 424-nucleotide ribosomal RNA is filed under the name uncultured bacterium. RNAcentral describes it as "bacterial SSU rRNA". It matches the Rfam family "Bacterial small subunit ribosomal RNA", at positions 29 to 490 of the family's 1533-position model. The record is from RNAcentral.